This 300-nucleotide ribosomal RNA is filed under the name uncultured bacterium. Its description in RNAcentral is "bacterial SSU rRNA". It matches the Rfam family "Bacterial small subunit ribosomal RNA", at positions 32 to 323 of the family's 1533-position model. The record is from RNAcentral.
AAUCAACGCUGGCGGCGUGCCUCAGACAUGCAAGUCGAACGAUUAAAGCUCCCUUCGGGGAGUGCAUAAAGUGGCGCACGGGUGAGUAACACGUAAGUAAUCUACCCUCGAGUGGGGAAUAACAACCGGAAACGGUUGCUAAUACCGCAUAAUGCAGCGGCACCGCAAGGUGACAGUUGUUAAAGGAGUAAUUCGCUUGAGGAGGAGCUUGCGGCAGAUUAGCUUGNGGUAAGGUAACGGCUUACCAAGGCUACGAUCUGUAUCCGGUCUAAGAGGACGGUCGGACACACUGACACUGAA